Molecule: long non-coding RNA, 1534 nt
Organism: Sphaerodactylus townsendi
Lineage: Eukaryota; Metazoa; Chordata; Lepidosauria; Squamata; Sphaerodactylidae
Exons: 3
Source: RefSeq, a predicted model, not a curated record
UGGCAUAAAGCCGCCCAUUGACAAGCCGAGCGUGGGAACGCCCGUCCUUUCUAGUUUUGCUGAGGAGGUCAUUCUCAGGCGCGGACCAACCUCUAACCUUGGCUUUUCCCCCUAAUCUCCCUGGGGAUUGGACUUCAGCCCCUGUUGAGACACACACAGCAGACCAGGACGGGACAGAGAAGAAACAAGUGGCUAUGGAAGAACGGCUCCAGCGAGAUUUUUGUCGUCCAGAGACUGGAAAGGAAAGAGGGAAGAUUUGAGGGGACACCCAAUCCAGGCCUCUGAAACACAGUCAGCUCAAUUUAUCAGGCAGCUGCAACUAUUACAAGAUGCAUGUCAGAAAGUCAACGGGGAAAAAGAAGCGGAAAAGAACACAGUGUUCAAGGUUACAACUGAAUAACAGACACCAGAAGCCAAGCUUUCUUAAUGCACUCCUACAUAUCAUCACCCUGAAUGCUGUGGAUUCUUACUACCUCAUGACAUCCAUUCUUGGUUUCCCACAAUGCACUUGCCUGAGCAUCGCUGCCUUCCUGGAUCGCUGCUUCCUCAUUGGCCACCUGGCUGGCUAGGUUUUUCCACAUAGGAGUCCAGAUGUUCCCAGGUGAGAUGCUAGAAUUCAAAUGGAUGGAGAACUGAAAUCAAAGUGGCAGGAGGAUGUGGGGGAAAGGAAAUAUUGUUUAAAUCUGGUUCUAUAUCAUGAAUACAUCCCCAAAUGAAUGAGACUGAAGCACCAUGUCUGUUAUUUCCAGAAAUAUAAACUUUCACAUCUGCCUUACAUAUAUUUAAAAUGUUCAGUACUGUGCCUAUUCCAAGGACCUGACAGGUAUACACAGUAGGAUUGCCAACAUCCAGUUGGGGGCUGGAGAUCCCCCAGAAUUAGAACUCAUCUCCACACUACAGAGAUGACCCUCCCCUGAACAAAAUAGGUAUUUUGGAUGGAGGAUCGUUUGGCAUUGUAUCCCACGGAGGUAUCCCCCACAGAGUCAAAUUCUUAGGCCCCUUCCGCACACGCAAAAUAAUGCGUUUUCAAACCACUUUCACAACUGUUUGCAAGUGGGUUUUGCCAUUCCGCACAGCUUAAAAGAGCACUGAAAGCAGUUUGAAAGUGCAUUAUUUUGCAUGUGCGGAAUGAGCCUUAGAGUCAAAUACCAGCAUACGGGAGAAGUGUUUUUUACCAAUUUGUUCUGGAAUAUCAGAACCUAUAUUAAAAGUAGUUUAUUUAGUUAACUGUAUUAAGAUUUUUAAAGAAUUUCAUAUCUAUAAACUUUGCUACUGGAGAUUUUUAAUAUACAGUCUGUUAAACCAUCCUGAUAUUAUUGUAAGCGUUCUUUGUAUGAUACUGAUUGUGUUUUCUAAUUCUCUUUCUAACAUUUGUUAUUUUAUCGCGUUUAAUGAUGUGCCAUUAAAGGCGAACCCGAUUUGACAAGUCUGCUGUCUCCUUUAAACGGUAGAAUUGUAAAUAUGGCACGAUCUGCUUGUUUUGCUUUAUUUAUAUUUCUCUGUUAAUUUUGAAAAAUAAACAAAAUUAAAUUAA